This 490-nucleotide ribosomal RNA is filed under the name uncultured bacterium. Its description in RNAcentral is "partial 16S ribosomal RNA". It matches the Rfam family "Bacterial small subunit ribosomal RNA", at positions 30 to 507 of the family's 1533-position model. The record is from RNAcentral.
AUUGAACGCUGGCGGCAGGCCUAACACAUGCAAGUCGAACGGUAACAGGAAGACGCUUGCUUCUUUGCUGACGAGUGGCGGACGGGUGAGUAAUGUCUGGGAAACUGCCUGAUGGAGGGGGAUAACUACUGGAAACGGUAGCUAAUACCGCAUAAUGUCGCAAGACCAAAGAGGGGGACCUUCGGGCCUCUUGCCAUCGGAUGUGCCCAGAUGGGAUUAGCUAGUAGGUGGGGUAACGGCUCACCUAGGCGACGAUCCCUAGCUGGUCUGAGAGGAUGACCAGCCACACUGGAACUGAGACACGGUCCAGACUCCUACGGGAGGCAGCAGUGGGGAAUAUUGCACAAUGGGCGCAAGCCUGAUGCAGCUAUGCCGCGUGUACGAAGAAGGCCUUCGGGUUGUAAAGUACUUUCAGCGGGGAGGAAGGGAGUAAAGUUAAUACCUUUGCUCAUUGACGUUACCCGCAGAAGAAGCACCGGCUAACUCCGUG